AUUGAACGCUGGCGGCAUGCUUUACACAUGCAAGUCGGACGGCAGCACAGAGAAGCUUGCUUCUUGGGUGGCGAGUGGCGAACGGGUGAGUAACAUAUCGGAACGUACCGAGUAAUGGGGGAUAACUAAUCGAAAGAUUAGCUAAUACCGCAUAUUCUCUGAGGAGGAAAGCAGGGGACCUUUUGGCCUUGCGUUAUUCGAGCGGCCGAUAUCUGAUUAGCUAGUUGGUGGGUAAAGGCCUACCAAGGCGACGAUCAGUAGCGGGUCUGAGAGGAUGAUCCGCCACACUGGGACUGAGACACGGCCCAGACUCCUACGGGAGGCAGCAGUGGGGAAUUUUGGACAAUGGGCGCAAGCCUGAUCCAGCCAUGCCGCGUGUCUGAAGAAGGCCUUCGGGUUGUAAAGGACUUUUGUCAGGGAAGAAAAGGCUGUUGCUAAUAUCGACAGCUGAUGACGGUACCUGAAGAAUAAGCACCGGCUAACUACGUGCCAGCAGCCGCGGUAAUACGUAGGGUGCGAGCGUUAAUCGGAAUUACUGGGCGUAAAGCGAGCGCAGACGGUUUACUUAAGCAGGAUGUGAAAUCCCCGGGGCUCAACCUGGGAACUGCGUUUCUGAACUGGGUGACUAGAGUGUGUCAGAGGGAGGUAGAAUUCCACGUGUAGCAUUGAAAUGCGUAAAGAU
Molecule: ribosomal RNA, 682 nt
Filed under: Neisseria subflava
Lineage: Bacteria; Pseudomonadati; Pseudomonadota; Betaproteobacteria; Neisseriales; Neisseriaceae
Description: bacterial SSU rRNA
Rfam family: Bacterial small subunit ribosomal RNA
Source: RNAcentral